AAAAACGCAAUGAACAAGAGUAGUAAGGGCUCAUGUCUACGGUACAGAAAGCUGCGGGUUGAUGCGACGCAGACCGAGAACGCCCUGAACUCGCUUGGAAGCGGUCGUCCUGAUCGGCUUAUUAGUAAGCCUUUAGGGAUGAACGGAUUGACCUCCGUGAUCAGGUGAUCUAGUUAGCAAUGGGCUAACUAGAUCUGAGGUGGGCUCCUUAACGGAGUCAACAAGAGUGGUACCGCGCUGGGUGAAGACCCGUCGUCUCUUAU
This 263-nucleotide non-coding RNA is filed under the name Paenibacillus pectinilyticus. RNAcentral's name for it is "T-box sequence". It matches the Rfam family "T-box leader". Rfam says of the family: Uncharged tRNA acts as the effector for transcription antitermination of genes in the T-box leader family. T-boxes are found upstream of many aminoacyl-tRNA synthetase genes and some amino acid biosynthetic genes usually in Gram-positive bacteria. The anticodon of a specific tRNA base pairs to a specifier sequence within the T-box motif, and the NCCA acceptor tail of the tRNA base pairs to a conserved bulge in the T-box antiterminator hairpin. Lineage: Bacteria; Bacillati; Bacillota; Bacilli; Caryophanales; Paenibacillaceae. The record is from RNAcentral.